CUUCACCGAGCCGAGCCACAGCGGCUGCUCGCGAUCCUGACCGUAGGUGGCGAUCAGGGCCUCGGCCUC
RNAcentral lists this antisense RNA (69 nucleotides) under Amycolatopsis rifamycinica. RNAcentral's name for it is "Aspks sRNA". It matches the Rfam family "ASpks TB sRNA". Lineage: Bacteria; Bacillati; Actinomycetota; Actinomycetes; Pseudonocardiales; Pseudonocardiaceae. The record is from RNAcentral.